Non-coding RNA from Gossypium hirsutum (cotton), 145 nucleotides. Lineage: Eukaryota; Viridiplantae; Streptophyta; Magnoliopsida; Malvales; Malvaceae. The record is from Rfam.
UGUUAAAAAUUUCAUCUAUUUCUACAACUAAAAACUAUUGUGACUGAUGGAAUAAUCAAACAGUUAUAUGUGGUGCACCACUUGUACCUCAUGUUGAGGUAUAGAGACCAAUUUUUAAUAGUAGAAACGGAUGAAAUUCUUUACA